AAUUGGUUGAAAGAUGUAGCCACCAAUGAUGAGACAAAGACUGUGUUUACUUGCGAAGCACGAAAGAAGUUGUUUGUUAGAGUUCUAACAAAGUGCACAUGGCUUAAAGAUCCUGAAGUCGACGCAGUCUGCCACUUGUUGCGCAAAAGGAUUGAGCAAUAUCCCAAGACAUAUAAACAUUGUAAAGUAUCAAUAGGGGAUUGCUUAUUAGCAGAUAUGAUGAGGCGAGAGUACCCGAACUU
This is a long non-coding RNA of Impatiens glandulifera, 242 nucleotides long. RefSeq lists it as uncharacterized. Lineage: Eukaryota; Viridiplantae; Streptophyta; Magnoliopsida; Ericales; Balsaminaceae. The transcript has 2 exons. The record is from RefSeq and is a predicted model, not a curated record.